This 254-nucleotide ribosomal RNA is filed under the name uncultured bacterium. Its description in RNAcentral is "partial 16S ribosomal RNA". It matches the Rfam family "Bacterial small subunit ribosomal RNA", at positions 524 to 776 of the family's 1533-position model. The record is from RNAcentral.
UACAGAGGUCCCGAGCGUUGUUCGGAUUCACUGGGCGUAAAGGGUGCGUAGGUGGUGAGGUAAGUCGGAUGUGAAAGCUCGGAGCUCAACUCCGAAAUGGCAUUGGAAACUACCUUGCUCGAGGGUUGGAGGGGGGACUGGAAUACUUGGUGUAGCAGUGAAAUGCGUAGAUAUCAAGUGGAACACCAGUGGCGAAGGCGAGUCCCUGGACAACUCCUGACACUGAGGCACGAAAGCUAGGGGGAGCAAACAGG